Rhipicephalus sanguineus (brown dog tick) is the source of this 21664-nucleotide long non-coding RNA. RefSeq lists it as uncharacterized. The transcript is spliced from 7 exons. NCBI's taxonomy places the organism in Eukaryota, Metazoa, Arthropoda, Arachnida, Ixodida, Ixodidae. The record is from RefSeq and is a predicted model, not a curated record.
ACUACAUUUCUUCCUGGCGGAGAGCUACAAAGCGGAGAGCGGGGCUAUAAAAGGCCGCGUGACGUUCGUCUCGGCGGAACUUCUCGCAGGGACGUGCGCUGGAGCUCGCGGCCGCGUGUCUGCGAUAAGUUCCCACCACCACCUCCCGCCCCCACGGCGCGACUACCCGCCUGGAUGUCGACGUCCGCUGGAAGGGAGUGAGUCAUCGGUGGUCGCACUAAUUGUACAUAUCGCUGUAAAUAAUAUAUUGCCCAUUGUACAUAGCCAUAGUCAUGAGAUUAAACGGAUACAAUGUCGAAUUGUGCAGUCCGUCGUAACUUGUCGCUGAGCGGCCGCCAUCUUGGUAGGCUUAGCGAAGUUAAAAUAUGGCGUCACUAGGCUUACGUGUACACUGCGCACUGACUUCAUGUCGCCACAUACCUAGCCGAGAUACUCUGCAUUACAGUCCAUUACUUCAGAUUUUCACUAAUACGGCCUUUCUUUUGCUUUCCACAAAUAUGAUGAUGACUCGCGUUGUUGUGACCAUUUACUCGAUUUCUUUUGUCUGUAGGCGACCUUGUUGAUGAACGGUUCCCGAAGUCGUCGCUACGAUUUGAAGAAUUACGUGUUUUAUUUGCACUAGAUAUCCCAAGCCGACGAGAAGUUCUAGCGCUCUUUUGUGUUAAAAGCGACUUGCGUUUCAGGCCGCGAGUGACAACCAAGAAAUUUCUGCAAUACUUAAGCAAGUCAAGGAUCGUAUGGCAUGGAUGAUAGUGCUGCGUCGCCGUCGACACCAGUCAUCAAUUUCACUUUCCAGCUCCAUUGGGUUUGCCUGCUCUUUUUCCUUUGUGCACUAUUCAUGGCAUGGCUUUCACUAGUUGAUCACAAUGAAAGGAUUGCUAGAGGGAAUGAAUUGACACCUGUGGUACGAGGCUAGGCUUGUAGCUAAAUCGUUUGUGUUGUAACAGUUGAUUAUAUUAAAUACAGUAGUAACUCGUGCGAAAUUUUACGUAAUUGCCAUUGCCACUUCAUAGGCGGUUAGGGCACAUCCUUCAUUCGAAAAAUAUUGCAUCUUGCUUCUGACCUUUUUCUCCAUUUCUAUAGCACCACCAAGUCUUGUUGAAAGAGAAGUCUCCACAGUACUCCAGAUUGACAGUUGGAAGUAUUGCAAAGGUUGUUUUGGGGAAACUGCUAAAAGCUGCCCUAAAUGGGAGUCAAGAAAGCUUUGAUCAAGGAAAGAGUUCUGUCUCAAGCUUCAAAAGACAAAAGGAAAGCAAUACUGAAGUACCCGAUUGAAGUUCAAAGCAUAAGUGAAGUAUGGCAAGUUCAAAAUCACAUGAGGUACAAGCUGUAAGUCUUUCUUUUGAAGAGUUGUUCAUUCAAGAUCUGUAUGCCAGUUACGUUGUAACGUGGAGGCAUGCUGUUUAGUGCAAAUUCUAGCUAUCAAGUAUACAGUGCCCAAUUUUCAAGAGUUGCAUUCAAGGUACAAGUUUUCAUGUUAAUGCUUCAAGCUGUCUAGUGUUGCCGGAUUCAAUUUGAGUGGUCAACGUUUCAAGUAAUGUGCAUAUUGCUGCAUUUUCAAGUACAAGCCGGUGUAUCCAAGCAUCAAAAUAUGUUGUGCAAGUUCUCAAGAAAUUUCUAGAAAUCUUCACAUGCAAGCAGUAAGGCAAAUUCCAUAUGCUUUCUGAAGUUGGGGAGGGGAGAAGACCAAGAAAAGUAUGUCAUGUCAAGCAGUAUGACUUUGCAAGAGGGGAGGGGCAACUUUCUCAAAGACAUCUGUUUAUGCAUACAGACCAGGAGAGCAAGGCAAAGUAGGUUGUGCCAGAAGGAAGAUUGACCUCGAAGGAAUUAACCGGAUAGCAAGUUUCGCCGUGCAUUGGAACUGGUUUGCUUUCCAUCUUCUCAACUAGGCUAGCUAACUUCGGUGCUGCUUUAGAGUGAAUGUUCAUGUGCAGUGCUUUAGUUGCAGCACAUAGUAGGCACGAAAUUGAAGCCAGUUUGAGGCUCAGGCAUGUUUGUUUUGCAGGUAUACACGGUCGAGGCCAGACAAGAUUUUAAGUGUCUGAAUGACCUGUAAUGAAAACAAGGGAUCGUUCAUUAAGUAGACUGCAGCACAAUGGUUACUCUGGCGUGUAGCUCCCACAGGUAUUCGUGAGUUCCUGUUGCAUUUGUUGUUUCCCAUGAAAUUGUCCUCCUUCAGUUAACCAUUUCAUUUGCAUUGCAUUUUUAAUUGUCCACUUGUCUAUAGCCGUUGUAUUAUUGCUCGCAAAAAAACAAACUUUGUGGCACUGCAUUUUUGCAAGUCCCCCUCGAAUCUUUUUCUCUAGCGCAUGUCCGGGGGGAGGGGGCGUGUUGUAUGCUUUGCUUUUGAGUCCCAUUGCAGCUAACUAGGUCCUGGAUGACAUAGACCUUCCUAGUGACUACACCAACACUGCUACGACACUCUCCUCCUCACACGGCUCACCACGUGCCGGAGUCCCCUGCAUUUGCUUUCUUCCGUAUUCUGCCUGGUGCGCCGUGGUCUCGUUUUGUCCUUGGCUGCACGGAAAUCCUCUUGUAAGCCACGUGUGAAUGGGGUUUGGUUCUUCCUAUGAAAUUGCACGGACUGUUGCCUAACUGCAAUUAGCGGCAAGUUGCUUUGCUCGUCUUUCAGACUGGGUAUUGCAAGGCUUUUGUAAUGCUUAAGAUGGUAGAGUGGAUUGGGUGGGGUAGAGUAAUUGUGCAGCUAUCGCAAGUUCACAGUAUCGCCUGCAUUUGAGCACUUGGAUGCAACCUGCUGUAAGCAUUGCAUGUAAUUACUUCGCAUUGGUCGUCUUUAGAGCAUUUUAGAUUGGUUGGGGUGGGGGCAAUUGUGAUGAGUGUUUUUGCAGGAACUAGGUGUUCAUUGGCAUAAAGGUCUGGAGCAAACGCUGCAACUGUGAGCAGUCCUCAUUACGCCGGGUAAGGGGUUUUUGAGGGAGGGUCAUGGCAUAUUGUGCAGUGCCGGCGUAGCCAGGAUCUGGAAGUAUCGUAAGCAUUUCUUUUAUAGGGGAAGAGUGGGGGGCGCUAUGGAAUAUUGGAGUUUUUGCAGUGCUGACCCAAGUUUCGGAGCUGGAACAAGGAAGCUGUCGUAAGCAUUUUUUUUUGUAACUGGUAGGGGGGUCUGGUUGUUGCAAAAGUUUGUGCACAGUGCCAACAAGUUUCAUACUUUGGAUUUGAGAUGAGAGCAUUCGUAAGCAUCUUUUCUUGUUUAGGGUGGGGAGGGGGUAAUUUUCACAUUUUUUUUUUUUUGUCCAAUGAGCCCUACAGUUCGGUGCUAGCGGCAGUGCCUGUCUGCAGAAGAGGACCAAAUGUAAGCAUAGUGGAUGAAACUGCUAAUGGGAUGGGGAUUGACCUGUGCUGUGGAGUUUUUGAGCAUGAGUCACAGGUGCCACCCUGUGUAGUAUUGGACCGCGAGUGGCUUUGUGUGGGUGGGGGGGCGUGCAUGAGUCCUUGCAGUUUCGUGCCGACACGUAGCUUCCUCGUGUGCUUCACUGGCUGGCAAAGAAAGCUGGACACGGUUCCCUCCCGGUGUGCUGGGCUCUCUCCGCCGAUAUUGGUGCAGGGAGUACUGCUGUAGUCUUUCCUCCUGUGGUUUUGGGCCUACCGCUUAUGUUGCCGUUGGAAUGCGUCUAGGCAAGGAGUCGAGGGGAAACAAAAAGAGAGCUCCUGUUCCGGUGUCCUGGCCCUAAAGCCCGCCGACCGCGAAGACCCCCCCAUUAUCGGCUACUGGGCUGCUAAAGGCCGUUCUACCCCGCCUGCAGAGUGUGUCCGGGCAUGCCGGCCUUCGAGGACACAGUGCUGUGCACGUGAUUGCAGGUUUGCUCAGAGGCUUUCAUCUCUGCAGUCUCUCUAAAUGUGGGGCUGUGUUGUUUUUUUUGUAGGGUUGUAGCUAGCUUUUAGCACCUAGCCAAUCUUGUGGUUUAUUGCUUAAGGUUAGUCAGGCAGCGUUGCGUAACGGUGUGUGGGUAGUGGGCGUUUUCUUGCAGCUCCUGGCGCGAGUGUGUGCAAUGCCAAUGCGUGGGUCGCUCCGGGCGUGGCUGUGUUGUGUGCCGCUAUGAUGCCGAGGCAUCGAGCGUGUGCCGCGAUGAUGCCGUAAAGCAAGGCGUCGAGCGAGGGUAUCCUUCGGUGCGUCCGCCUCUUCAUCGGGGCCGUGGUUCCCGUGCUUUUCCCGGUGUAGUGUUCAAGGACCGCCAGCGACGCGUCUUGUGCGAGUUGAGCGUGUGAGGCGUGCCAGGGUCGUCGUCGGAGGAUGCUUGUCGUUCUCCCCACGGAGUCAAGAUGGUUUCCCUUUCCACGAGUUCCAUUGCCAGCCUAGUCCGACCGAGAUGUCAUCGCGGCUUCGUUACCUAGCUCUUCCAACAUGUCAACAUCUACAAUGCCUACCUAGCCCAAUCUAAGUGUCUCCACUGAUAUCCCCAGCUAUUGAAAUUGCAUCUUGCACUUCAUAUUGUUGCGCUGUAAAGAGGCUGAUCAAGCAAGAAAUGGACUUUCCUGAAUAGCAAAGUGAUGCUUGGCUCUGUAUCUGUAUUCAUACAAUGAAUACAGAUUAAGCUCAAAGGAGAACAUGUUGCCAAUUCAUUGUAAGGAGUGUUCUAGCUUUAUACCAAGCUGUUCUGACCAAUAUUUCCUGUAGGUCUAAUUUAAUGCAAGAGCAGAUAUGUACUGCUUAUUCCAGUUGCAUAAGCUGUACGGCUUUUGUAAUAAGGCCACAGUUCCAUUGUAUUGUGAUCCUGCUCACAAUUAAUUCUAUUUAUACUCAACGCACUUGUGCAAAUGUUGGAAUUGUAGUGCAAGUACGAGACUUGAAAACAUCUUUUUGUUGCAAACAUUUCUUAGGCAAUCUUCAUGUGCUGUCUGAAUGUUCAUAACGGCAGUUGUUCAUCAAUACAAACAUAUUCGAAACUUCUACGAUUACAGUCUUAAAUGAAAGCAGCCCUGUUAAUUCCCACAUGUUUUCUUUGCUUUUCCAAAGUGCAACAGAUUUAUUAAUCAAAGAAAUGCUUCUAGGAAAAUUGCAACCCUAGUCCCUACUGAUGCAAUGUGCCAUAGAUUGCAUCAAUUCAACUUUGCAAACAUGUUCAUGUGCUUUAAAUGUUCCCAUUCAUGCCUCUCCUAUUAGUCUAGUCCAAAACAGCCUCUAUAAUUUACCUUUGCUUUGUUGGCUUGUGAUGCAAUGUGCCAUAGAUUACAUGUCCAAACUUCAUUGAAAAGCAAGUUUGCUUGCAUGCCCAUGCGGCAAAAUGCAUAACAUGCAUUAGCUAACAUUCAACAUUCAUGAAAGACAGCAAGACACCUUGAUCAUAGCUUACUGAUAAGCUGCUUAGAGCACCAGUUCCUCUAAUCUGCCUUAAAUAUGAAGUGCAGAAGAUUUGGCGAUAAUUAGCAAGCAUUAAUGCAGAUUUCAUAACACCUGUAUAAGCAUACUAGUUUCCUAACCAUUGCAUUGCCUGGAUGUGUUGGAUAUGAUGAUAGUGUGCAGAAUGUCGUUGAUAUGUUGGCUGAAAAGAUUCUCUCACAGGCUGGAUGUGGUUUAGAUGCCACUGCAGGCAAUGUGGUACAGUGUAUAGACUUGCAGCCUUGGGCUACAAAUAUGUGUACCACUUUCAAUGAAUGGUAUCAUAUUUUAUCACGUCUAAAGUAAACCUGACCUUGUGCAUAGGCAAUAAGCAGUUCCACAGUAGCUUGUGUUUCAAAUACUUGAAAAAACUUGUUCGCUGCAGUAAAUAAAUGUUCGUGCAGAGUUUCCCACAACAGCUGCUUUGUUGGUCAGAAGCAUGGCCAAGCUUUAUACAUUCUGAGAAAGAAAAGCAUUUAAGUAUCUGCCUAUAACUGUCGUUCCCUAAAUUUUUCAAUUUAUGGAAUAAGAAUACAUUAGGACUAAGAGGUCCAACAUCUCAAUGAUUGCUUUUGCCAUUUUUCAUCCAAAGCUUUCCACUACAGAGCAUUGUUUUGCAAAUUAUGCCGUAUGGCUAGUCUUUCAUCGUGAAUAUAUGCUUGUGAAGACUGCCCAGAGCUACUUAGUCGGUCCGAAGCAUGACAAAGUUUUAAACAAAUAUUGUGUGUUCUGGAAAGCAAGCGUUUCAGUAUCUGUCCCCUAGAUUUUUGAUUUUAUGGAAUAAGAAUAUAUUAGCACUAAGAAGUCCAACAUCUCAAUGAUUGCUUUUGCCAUUUUUCAUCCAAAGCUUUCCUCUGCAGAGCAUUGUUUUGCGAAUUAUGCACUGUGCCGUAUGGCUGGUCUUUAACUGUAAAUAUAUGCUUGUGAAGACUGUCCGGAGCUACUUUGUCGGUCUGAAGCAAUACCAAGUUUUAUACAAAUAUUGUGUGUUCUGGAAAACAAGUAUUUAGUAUCUGUCCCUUCGAUUUUUCAUUUUAUGGAAUAAGCAUAUAUUAGCACUAAGAAGUCCAACAUCUCAAUGAUUGCUUUUGCCAUUUUUCAUCUAAAGCUUUACUAUGCAGAGCAUUGUAUUGCAAAUUAUGCACUACGCCGUAUGGCUAGUCUUUCAUCGUAAAUAUAUGCUCACGAAGACUUCCCAGAGAUAAACGUUGCUGUAAAUAAAGGGUCAAUAAAAUGGAUUCCACAAGAAGCCUAUCAAAAACAAGAAAAAAAGCCUAUGAAGAAAAGAAAAAGGAUUGGUAAAUAUCUGAAAGGCUAGUGGAAGAAAAACCAUUGAGUGGUGUGGAAUCUGGGGCAGGUGCCAGGGGAGAAGGGAGCCUGCCAGAAAAAACGAAAGUGCUCUAUUCGCAGCAACGUUUGUAGCCUUUGGUUAUGUAAAGUCUUAAGCAGAAUGAAAUAAAGAAAUCUUUAAAACCAAUUGCACACAAAGUUUCCAGAGUGUUAUUUCAGGCCAGGCAGCAUUUGCCCCCUAGACGUUCUUUGCUCAGCCACUGCCCUGUGCAGUAGAUGGUGCAAGGGCGUGUUGGGAUUGCUGGCGUAAUCCAUGAACCCCUCGACACACUCACUUUUAGAGAAGGGCUCAUGGAUUGACGCCUUGGAUAGAACCACCUUUUUCUUGUAGUGUGAGCCAUGGAGAUACUACAUAGAAGUUUACUGGAGAUCCUGUGGUUUGAAUGGUAUAGUAUGCAUUUUAUCUUUUGGUUAGCGAGGUGCAUGUUAGAUAUGCCGAUGACUUUUAGAAUGCAAGUGGCAGGUGUUCCAACAAAAAAAACCUUGUAGUAUCUCUGCGAAAAUGCAAAGAUGUUUUUAACUAUUCAUGCUAUUGAACUAUUCAUUCACCUUGCUCUAGGUACACAAUGAUUCACCGGAAAACAUCCUACAGCAUCAACUUGAAAAUGGAUCAACUUGAGUGUGCUGAUCGUGUUGCGUAUGAAUACUGAAUGAAAAUAUAUUGGGUAGAGGCACACGAUAAUUCACUGUAAAAUGUACAUUCUACAGGAUCAAUGUGGGGGCAAUAGUGUUGCAUAUAAAUACUGAGUGAAAGUGUAUUCGCAUAGGAGGUGAGAGAGUUGCAUCCAGUGCGAUAUGGCUGUGGUACCUUGAGUGCAGAUAAGCUUCAUACUGCUGGGAAACCUUUGUUUCACAGUAUGAAACUUCUUUGCAGGAACAGCUACAUAUUAUGUUGAUACAAACUGGAAUAAACGAACUGAAACCUGUGGUGCGAGCCUAGAGAUACUGCAAGAUGAAAGAAAUGGGACAUGUAGUUAAAUACUUUGCGAUUUGGGUGCACGUGAUCGAUGAAAAGCCCAGCUUCAUUCCCCCAGAUUCUAGCUUUUCUGGCAAUGCUCCAUUUGCUUUCUUGCUAUGCAGUCUGCAAACUGCUUGCUCAUUGCAAUCGUAAAGAAGCUCCAAUGGUUGCUAAAUGUGCACGAUGAUUAGUUUUUCAUUUGAAAAGGUGUACAGACAGCUGUCAUGCUGUGGGAUAAAGAUGAGUUCGUCUGUUUGCCAUUCUGCUGUUGUCCAAACCAUGACCUUAAUUGAAUCUGUGAGUUCUGUGGUGGUGUUGCCUGGCACCCAAAGGAAGUUUAGUUUUUCUGGAGAUUUCCGGUGUAUCACUGCAAUGUCCAGAAGAUCUCUGCAUCUUCAGCAUAGUUAAACCAAUCUCUUGUUCUUGCCUCGAGUUUUGUAUGAUGUUAAACUUGGUGAGAGGUGAAGGUGGCUCUGGUUUCAUGUUACAAAGGCAUUGGAGUGGUUCACAUGCUUCCUUGACUGUGACUGGCUUAAAUGUUGAGAGUAUGGCCACAAGCCUCCUAAAACCUGCUUUGAGCCCAGCUCUAAAAUCAAAAUACUGACAAAAAAAUGGCAGGUCUUGUAUUUUUUUGGAUUUGGACUCCUACAGCAUUCUUGCGAGUGCCACAGGGGCCCUCCUUGAAAUAUGUCUCAAAGAAAAAUAAGGUUUUUGACAACAAAAACCUAUUAUUGAAAUGUGGUGCUACAUCAAUGUGAGAAUGGUCAUUGGCCUACUUGGCUUUCAUUGUAGGAUGGCCUCUUGCAUGCAGCCCCAAUUUGUCCUGUCCCGCUUCUGUUUUAUACCUGCAAAUUUUCCGUUCCAUCGCGCUACCUGGGACCUGCCGUCCUUUGCUUCAUUUCUCGACUUCGUGUUCUGUCCGGCCUCUAACCAUCAGUUAUCCAUCCUAUGCAUUGUGUGACCUGAUCUAUUGUAUGCUUUUCUCUUCAUGUGGCCACUAUGUGGCCUGCCCUUGCUCGUUCUCUGGCCCAUUCUGCAGUCUCUGAUCUCUUGGUUGCGCAUAUCAAUUUCAGUUCCAUCACUUUCUGUGCAGACCUUGAAAAUUCAUCUUGCAUUUCCUUGCUAAGUUAUAUUACAGAUACUUAGCUUAUGGUGAAUAAACAAUUACCUGCUGUUGCGAUGUUGACUGCAUUACCAGAAAACAUCAAAAACAUUGAAGAGGGUGGUACAGUUUAAAGUAGCUGCAAUUUUUACUCUUGUCUAGUGCGUGCCCAGUUUUCAUGUGUUUAGACUAAAUGCACUUAAUGUAUUGCUCCAUAAACUGAGGAUAAGGACACAUUCCUAUCCCAACACUUCCUUCUGUGACCCAAGUUUUGCAGGCUACAAGAUCAUGCCUAGUUUAAAGGGACACUAAAGGCAAAUCAAAAUAUGAGUGAAAGGUCAAUGUCAGUGUUGUUGUCAAUAGCAGUGCUCUAGUAAUCAAGAAAUUCAGGUAGGGCACUAUAUGUGCCACCAGUAGGACGUUUUAUGAGCCCAAUGACGUCCAGAGUUUGUUUCAUUCAUGGAAAAAAGAACUUGACGGUACAGUGGAGAAUGGCGUGGCUUGUGCACAAGUUCCGUUUUCGCAGGGCUGCGCUCCGCUCGCGUCUCAGUGGUAGUUUCAUUAUCGCAUACUGCUGCGUGUGCCUUGCACGCUCAUGGAAGUUGCUGUAACGAAAAGUUUGGCAAAAUGCUGUGUCCAUGUUAUGUGUAAUGUGCCCGCAGAAACCACAGCGUUGGCUGUCUGGCAGUAAAGGCGGCCAACGUUGGGCAAGAUUGGGCUGUAUUUGUAUGUGCAAUAGCCUAAAACAGCGUAUUCGUUUGCAUAACAUGUAUUUGUUGUAUUUGUAUUUUCGAAGCAAUGUAUUCUACCCCGUUUGGUAUUGUUGCCUGCAUUUUUUCCAUAAUAUGUUGAAUUUCCACCCUGCUAAAAUCCCCUAUGGGGAUUGCAGUAUCUGUAAAUAAAUAAUAAAUAAGGCUAAUGCUACGUCAGGAGGCCUUUUCAGGUGCGCAAUUCGAAGUGCGCUAACGCUGUGCGGACCACUAAAACGUGAUUUUCAUUCAAAAUAAGCAUUUCAUUGGCACGAAACAAGAACCACAGGGUUUCUGGAACGCUAUUUCAACAAUCAACAUUGACCAUUUGCCUUUAGUGUCCCUUUAACUUUGGUUUAGCAUAAGAAAUCUUGGCUCAAAAAUAUCAUGGUUACCAGCUUGAUGUACUUUGUAUGGUAUUUGAUAUGGCUAGCUGUUAUGGAUAUAAAAGCAUUGUAAGUUGAAAAAAGUGCUGGAAAUCGGAAUAUAUAAUUUGCACAUUUCCGUAGUUAGUGGAUGUGAUAAAUGCCAGAUAUGCAAAUGUCUAAAGGUGGCUAGGUGGGAAACGUACCGAAGUAAUAGUCGGGAGCCGACAAAAAAUUCGGAGGGCUCACAUCAGUAAAAGUUUAAUCGGUAAAUCUGUGAGAGAAAGCUUGAGUACAUCAGAACUUGAUCUCAUUGAGGUGCGGUAUGGUACGUGAAUAUUUACGAAAUGUCAAGCUGAUAAAUAAAUGGUUACAAAAAUUGAAAACAAAAAAGUAUGUGUAAGGUGGGGACAAGUGUAAUGUGGUAUAAAUUUCCAGCACAAGUGGUAGUGAAAACAGUAGCAUUGCGAUUACAAAUAGUUGCAGCGAUAACGGUAAUGAAAUGUCUUGGUGGUAGAAUAAGUGGGCAUACUUGUAAUGUGUCUGUGUGUGUGUUUUAUAAAAAAACAAAUUCUGGGAUAGGCAAGGAAUCCAGGCCUAUUUUCAUGUCCACUGCAGGGAGGACUGUCCCAGUUAUCUCCAGUUUACACCAUCUUGUGUGAACAAACUCCUUGCCCCAAGUUCUUAAAUUUUGUUGCUCCAGGUCUUGUGCAUUCUGUGGUUGGCCCAGUCCAAUUUCUUUUACUUUGUGUCAACUAGAACACCUGUUCCGAUCAUUUAAUGUUAUGUCUGCCAUUCUUCGUUGCAUUGCGCUCUUCCUGUUACAAUAUCCUCCAAGCUUCAGCUCCAUAUGCUAGCACUGGCAAUAUGCAGUGACAGUAUGCUUUUUGCUUUGCUUCAGCCAUCAUUAUUUGGAGGAUUUCCUUUUCAUGUGUAUGCCUCGCCCAGUUAGUAAAUACCCUAGGUGUACACUCUCUUGUACAGACUCCAAGGUUUGGUUACCAAUUCUGAACUCGUUUGCCAUGCUCUGAAUGAUUUUUUUUUUAAACCUUAUUGUUACACUUGCUUGAGCUGGCCGAGAUAUUCUCUGUUAAUCAGUGUUCCCACUUCUAAGCACGACGUAACAACGUUGGACAGAUUGUAUCUCCUUGCCCAACUCCUUUUGCUUUUUGUGAAGGAGCAAGGUAGACGUUGGCCUAGGUAUACACUUUUCGAGUACCUCUUGGUGACUCUGUGCUUGCAAGACGUGUAUGUAUGUCAGAGAGUCAAGUAACUUUUUGUAGUCUUUGAAAGCCAUGCACUGGGUUGAUUGUCCUCUGCAGACUUCAUUGUUCUGAUUGUUUAUAUGGGUGUGAUCUAUCACAGCUCGUGAACAAGGCUCCCAUGAGGGGAGCCUUAUUCUGUGGUUAAUGUUACUCUUCUAAUUUUUAUGAUCUAUCGUAAAGUACUUCUUCCUGAAGCCAACUUGUUUUCUAAGUUGGUUCAAGUCUAGGGGGUCUCUUUAUCAUGUUUUUAACUACAUUUAAAUAUUUUAUGAAAUACUGAAAGUAAGCUGAUGGCUCUGUAAUUCUUUGUCUCCCUUCUGGGGCAUUAAUGUUGGCAUUUUUCCACCUCAAUGGUACAUUGAAGUUUUUCAAAAUGAGUGCAGAGCAAGUUUCUCUAGUGUAAAAUUCCCUCCACAUAAAGUUAUGCCUAAUGGCUUUUCUAACCUCAUCUGUAGUUUCAUAUGGAACUUUGUCUUGUUUCACAUUGCUUCCAUUUGAAGAUGGAUGACUUAUCUGUGAACAUUAUAGUUCUGAGUUGAGAGAGAGAGACAUAACUUUGUGUCCUUGCUGGGGUCAAGGGAGGCGGGGGCCGGGAGACUAGCCCUACCGGAGCCCCCCUUCCUCAAAAGGCAGCCAGACCUUGGGUCUUGGCAGUGUCUUCGGCCAGCCGGACUGCCCAGAGUUGGUCAUCUGGGCACGCGCUGAGCAGCUUUGUUAAAUGAGCUCGGCAAAGUCUUAUUUUCCAUUUCAAGUUUGUCACUUUCAUCAGUUUUUUUUUUUGUAUCUAAUUCAGUCGUGCUUUGAGAAAAAGGAGUUGCUUCUUGCCUUGCUGCCUCAGACAUCAGUCCCGUUACAAUUUUGUUCAUUUCCCUCUGUGGCUGUAUUCUUGCUCUAAAUGAUUGUUUUUCUCAAGGGUAAUUAUGAACAAGUCUCUUUUUAUGACUCAAAUGAUUAGACUUGUUUUUUAGCAGUUCAUUUUGCUUGUGUUCUCUGGUUGAGGGAUAUUCUUGACCUCACUAACCUAUGAUCACUAUGUUUUACAUAGCGUAUCAACUUAGUCCUGUAUUACGUGUGAACCUCUGCAUAAUACAAAACCUUGCACCUUUUGUUUCUCUGUUAUGGCGAUCUACGUCCACUCCCUGUGCUGUCAGGUGGUGUUCAUUAUACGAAGUUGAUUUCGUUAGGCUAAUUGCACUAACUUCUGUUCUGUUUGUAAAACUGAUGCAGCCUCCUGUGGCUGUGGUGUACUGGGUGUGCACCUUAUGCAUUGCUAAUUCAACAUUCUUGUUGAAUCAUUCUACAUCAUAGUCAUCAUGGCUGCACUUUCAAGUGUCCAUUUCCUAUUUCACGUACGAUUUGGUAUAUAAUGUCUAUGUGUGGAAUAGUUCACAUGUAUGUGCAAAAAAAAAAUUAACUGCAAUUGUUGACAAGUAAGCAGCAUCCAACAACCUGCGUAAAUGAUUUCACUUAGUCGUGUUUCAACAAUUAACAUGACUGAGGUAGUGGGUACUUAAUUUGAAGAAUCACAAGAAAAUGUGUAGAUGAGAAGCUGUGCUUUCAUAUUGUGACAUAUACAUUCUGCAUGGUUUGUGCAUUUAAAAACUAUCGAAAAAGGAGCAUUAAAAGCAACAAUCCUUAAGGUCGAGCAACUGUGAUUGUGUGGUUGACAUUCCUAUGUUGUUAUUACUGAAAGAUGGUGGCACCAGACAACUUGAGGAGCCCCCCCAAUUUUUGCACAGAUACGGUAUUUGAAUAAUUGCAUGCUGUUGAUCUGAUGAAUGCAUUCAAAAACAAUGCUAGCUGAAGCAGUGCUGAUGAAAUCGGUAAAAUCAUUUCUGAAUAUUGAUAUUCUAUUUAAGUGAUAUCUUAAAGGAUGCCAGAAAAUGAUUUCAUUAAUGUACAUAAAACAUUCUAGUUGUAUCAUUAGUAUGAAAUGUAGUAUAUAAUUAUAUGCUAUUGAAUCAAGAUCUCUUCAGCAGAGCAGAUGAUUGCAUAGACAUGCCCUUAAUGGUACGUAAAUUUCCAUGGGCGGAUAUUCGAGUAAUCAAGAUGUGGUGGAAAUCAAUACACCGAAAGAUGAAUACUCGUACACUAUGGAAACAAAAUAUUGCGGUACACAUAAAUAUGAAAUGUUGUGGUUGAAGUCGGUACAAUCAAAUAUCGAUGCACUAUUCAACCGAAAUGAUUCACUAUUCAACCGAAAAGAAAUUGAUUUCGUACUAGUAUAUAUGAAGUAGCACGGGUUGUGAUGUGUUUGCAGUAAUAAGAAAUUGCUUUCAUACAGGUACUGGUAUAUAAGAAGUAGCAUGGGUUGAGAUGUGUUUGAAAAAUAAAAAAAAAACUGGUUGAAAUGAUGCGGCGGAAAUGAGUAGCAUGAAAUGUGAAUAAUGAUGCGCUAUGAACAAAAACGUUGCAGUAAUAAGAUACUGAUUUCGUACAGGUAUAUAAAGAAAGUAGCAUGGGUCGAGAUGUGUUUGAAUAAUGAAAAGCUGGUUGAAAUGGUGUGGUUUAAAUGAGUAGAAUGAAAUGUCAAUAGUCAUGCUGUGUUGAACAAAGAUACUCCAGGAAUAAGAAAUUGGUUUCAUAAGAGGUGCAGGUAUAUAAAGAAGUAGCAUGGGUCGUGAUGUGUCUGAAUAAUGAAAAACUGGUUGAAGUGUGUAGAAAGAAUGUGAAUAAUUCGACAUUGAACCAAAAUAUUGCAUUAAUAGGAAAUCGAUUUCAUAGCAGUACUGGUAUUAAAGAAGUAGCAUGGGUCAAGAUGUGUUUGAAUAAUAAACUGGUUGAAAUAAGUAGCAUGAAAUAUGAAUAAUGAUGCGCUGCGCUAUGAAGAAAAACGUUGCAGUAAUAAGGUAUUCUUUCGUAUAGGUAUAUAAAAAAGUAGCAUGGGUUGAGAUGUGUUUGAAGAAUGAAAACCUUGAAAUGACAAUGAAAUGUGAAUAAUAAUGCUCUGCGCUAUGAACAAAAAUAUUGCAGCAGUAAGACAUUUGAUUUCGUACAGGUAUAUAAAGAAGUAGAAUGGGUCGACAUGUGUUUGAAUAAAACUGGUUGCAAUGAGUAGAAUGAAAUGUAAAUAAUGAUACGCUGUUAACAAAAAUAUUGUAGUAAUAAAUUGAUCUGUCCUGGUAUAUAAAGAAGUAGCAUGGGUCUAGAUGUGUUUGAAUAAUGAAAAACUGGUUGAAAUGAGUAAAAUGAAAUGCAAGUAAUGAUGUGCUGUGAACAAAAAUAUUGCAGCUAAAAAAUAAAUUCAUACAGGUACUGGUAUAUAAGGAAGUAGCAUGGGUAGAGAUCUGUUUGAAUAAUGAAAAACUGGUUGAAUUUAGUAGAAUGAUGUGUAGAUAAUGAUGUGCUAGGAACAAAAAUAUUGCAGUAAUAAGAAAUUGCUUUCAUACAGUUACUGGCAGAUAAACAAGUAGCAUAAGUUGAGAUGUGUUUCAAUAAUGAAAAAGUGGUUGAAGUGAGAAUGAAAUGUAAAUAAUGAUGCGCUGUGAACAAAAAUAUUGCAGUAAUAACAAAUUGAUUUCGUACUGGUAUAUAAAGUAGCAUGGGUCGAGAUGUGUUUGAACAAUGAAAGACUGGUUGAAAUGAGUACAAUUAAAUGUGAAUAAUGAUGCGCUAUGAACAAAAAUAUUGCAGUAAUGAGAAAUUGAUUUUGUACUGGUAUAUAAAGUAGCAUGGGUCGUGAUGUUUUUUGAAUAACGAAAAACUGGUUAAAAUAAGUAGAAAGAAAUGUGAAUAGUGGUGCACUAUGAACAAAUAUUGCAGUAAUAAGAAAUUGGUUUCAUACAGGUACUGGUAUAUAAAUUAGCAUGGGUUGUGAUUUUUUUUUUUUAAUGAAAAGCUGGUUGAAAUGGUGCGGUUUAAAUGAGUAGAAUGAAAUGUGAAUAAUGAUGCGGUAUUGAACCAAAAUAUAGCAGGAAUAAGAAAUCGAUUUCAUAAGAGGUGCAGGUAUAUAAAGAAGCAGCAUUGGUUGACGUGUUUGAAAAAUGAAAAACUGGUUGAAAUGAGUAGAAUGAAAUGUGAAUAACGAUGUGCUCAAUUAUUAAACAGAAAUAAUGCUGUAAUAAGAAAUUGAUUUUAUACAGGUACUGGUAUAUAAAGAAGUAGCAUGGGUCGAGAUGUGUUUGAACAAUGAAAAACUGGUUGCAAUGAGAAUGAAAUGUAAAUAAUGAUAUGCUGUGAACAAAAAUAUUGCAGUAAUAAGAAAUUGAUUUCAUCCUGGUAUAUAAGAAGUAGCAUGGGUCUAGAUGUGUGAAUAAUGAAAAACUGGUUGAAAUGAGUAGAAUAUGUAAAUAAUGAUGCGCUAUGAACAAAAAUAUUGCAGUGAAAAGAAAUUCAUUUCAUACAUGUGCUGGCAUAUAAAGAAAAGUAGCAUGGGUCCAGAUGUGUUUGAAUAAUGAAAAACUGAUUGAAAUGAGUAGAAUGAAGUGUGAAUAAUGAUACGCUGCACUAUGAACAAAAAUAUUGCAAUAAUAAGAUAUCGAUUUUGUACAGGUAUAUAAAGAAGUAGUAUGGGUCGACAUGUGUUUGAAUAAUAAAAAACUGGUUGAAACGAGUAGAAUGAAAUGUGAAUAGUAUUGCGCUAUGAACAAAAAUAUAUCAGUAAUAAGAAAUCGAUUUUAUAGCAGUACUGGUAUUGAAGAAGUAGCAUGGGUUGAGAUAUGUUUGAAUAACGGAAAACUGGUUGAAAUGAGUAGCAUGAAAUGUGAAUAAUGAUGCGCUAUGAAAAAAAUAUUGCAGUAAUAAGAUAUUGAUUUCAUACAGUUACUGGUAUAUAAAGAAGUAGCAUGGAUUGAGAUGUGUUUGAAUAAUGAAAAACUAGUUGAAAUGAGUAGAAUGAAAUGUGAAUAGUGGUGCCCUAUGAACAAAAAUAAUGCAAUAAUAAGUAAUUGAUUUGAUACAGGUACUGGUAUAUAAAGAUGCAGCAUGGGUCGUGAUCUGUUUAAAUAAUGAAAAACUGGUUGAAAUCUGUAGAAUGAAAUGUAAACAACAAUGUGCUGUGAACAAAAAUAUUGCAGUAAUAAGAAAUUGGAUUUCGUGCUGGUAUAUAAGGAAGUAGCAUGGGUCGAGAUGUGUUUGAAUAAUGAAAAACUGGUUGAAAUAAGUAGAAUGAUAUAUAAGUAAUGAUGCGCUGUGAACAAAAAUAUUGCAGCAAAAAAAUAAUUUCAUACAGGUACUGGUAUAUAAGGAAGUAGCAUGGGUAGAGAUGUGUUUGAAUAAUGAAAAACUGGUUGAAUUUAGUAGAAUGAAAUGUAAGUAAUGAUGCGCUGUGAACAAAAAUAUUGCACUAAUAACAAAUUGAUUUCGUACUGGUAUAUAAAGAAGUAGCAUGGGUCUAGAUGUGUUUGAAUAAUGAAAAACUGGUUGAAAUGAGUAGAAUGAAAUGUAAGCAAUAAUGCGCUGUGAACAAAAAUAUUGCAGUAAUAAGAAAUUUAUUUCGUCCUGGUAUAUAAGAAGUAGCAUGGGUCGAGAUGUGCUUGAAUAAUGAAAAAAAUUGGUUGAAAUGAGUAGAAUGAAAUGUAAGUAAUGAUGCGCUAUGAACAAAAAUAUUGCAGUAAUAAGAAAUUGCUCUUAUACAGUUACUGGUGUAUAAAGAAAUAGCAUGGGUUGAGAUGCGUUUGAAAAAUAAAAAACUGGUUGAAAUGAAUACAAUAAAAUGUGAAUAAUGAUGUGCUAUGAACAAAAAUAUUGCAGUAAAAAGGUACUGGUAUAUAAAGAAGUAACAUGGGUAGAGAUGUAUUUGAAUAAUGAAAAACUGGUUGAAAUGAUUACAAUGAAAUGUGAAUAAUGAUGCGCUAUGAAUAAAAAUAUUGCAGUAACAAAAAAAUAAUUUCACAGGUACAAAAACAAACGAGUAGCAUGAGUCGUGUUACGUUUGAAUAAUAAAAACCUGGUUGAAAUGUGAAUAAUCAUGGCUAUGAACUAAAAUAUUAGAUUAAUAAGAAAUUGCUUUCAUACAAGUACUGGUAUAUAAAGAAGUAGCAUGGGCAUACCUGCCAACUCUCCCGAAUUGUCCGGGAGACUCCCGAAUGUACGAAUGUCAUCUCGAAUCUCCCGAAAAGUGGCCACCACAGCAGAGGCAGGGUUUUUUCCUCUUUUCUUUUAAAUCAUGCGCGUACGUCAGCCUUUACAGCUGUGGCGGCGCUGUGGAAGAGCACUCGCCACCACACUUCUAUUUCAUUGUAACCAUAUACUUUAUAUCUACUUUACUUAAUCUACUUUAUAGACAUUUUAUGCUGGUAUACGAAAAGGUCGCAUGGAUUUAGAUGGUAUAUAUAAAAAUAGAAGCUUUUGAAGUGGUGUGAUGAAAAGGAUUUGAAUGAGAUACAAAUACUGAUGUGCCAUGUAACCAAGUUAUAGAAGUAUAGUGAAAAUUGUUUAUAUGGACGUGCUUACGGUGGUAUUCGAAGAACCUCCAUAUGUCGCGACACCGUAACGGCAUGGUUGAAAGGAGUUGCAUGAAAGACGUUUAAUGACACACUAUUGUAUGAGGAUAUCGAAGCAUGUAGGAACCUUAUUUCAUAGGUGUACUUUGGUGAUCAGUGAAGUAGCAUCGCUCGAGAUUGUCUAGACGUAAAGAAAGACUGUUGUUUAAAGGGUAUAUUUGAAAGCUGUCCAAUGAAAUAUGCAUAGCAAUAGUCUAUUGAAUCAAGGUAUCGAGGCAUGAUGGAAGUUCAUAUAGGCACAAUUACAACGGUACACAAAAAAAUGGGAUGAGUUGAGAUGUUAUAUAAUAAAAAAAAGGUUGAUAUGGUGUGAUCAAAGGGAGUUCAGUGAGAAACAAAGAAUGAUGUGUUAUUCAACGAAAUUAUGGAAGCAUGUUGAAAUUUGGUUUUGUAAAUGUGCUUUAUAUAAUGUUUGAAGAAGUAGCAUGGCUAGGUGAGGGAGAACUGUUCAAGCGGUAUGGUCUCACAUUUUCGGCCAGUGUACGAAGAGGUCGUAUGGAUUGAGAUUUUAUAUAUAAAAACGAAAGCUUUUGAAGUGGUGUGAUAAAAAGGAGUUGAAUGAGCUACAAAUAAUAAUAUGCCAAUUAACCAAGUUAUAGAAGAAUAGUGAAAAUUUAUACGAACGUAGUUACGGGUGGUAUUCAAAGAAGCUCCAUAUGUCGUGAUGGUAUGUAAAUAGAGUAAAAUGUUGGCCGUAAUAGUAUGGUUGAUAGGAGUUGAAUGAAAAACGUGUAAUGACACACUAUGGUGCGAGGAUAUCGAAGUAUGUUGAAAAUUUAUUUCAUAGGCGUAGUUUGGCUUCAAAACGAAGUAGCUUCGCUCAAGAUGGAUCUACAUGCAAAAAUAGACUUUUUAAACGGUAUAUUUAAAAGCUGUGAAUUUAUAUGUGCAUGGAAAUAGUCUUUUGAAUCAAGGUAUCGAGGCAUGAUGGAAUUUGAUAUAGGCGCACUUACAACGGUACACAAAGUAGCAUGGGCUGAGAUAUUAUAUAUAAAGACAUAAAACGGUCAAAACGGUGUGAUCAAAAGGAGUUGAAUGAGAUGAAAAUACUGGUGUGCCAUUUAACCAAGAUGUAUGUGAAAAGUUUUUACAAGGACGUACUUACAGUGGUAUUCGAAGAAGCUCCAUAUGUCGUGAUGGUAUGUAUAUAGAGUGAAACAUUGGCCGUAACGGUAUGGUUGAUAGGAGUUGAAUGAAAAACAUGUAAUGACACACUAUUGUACGAGCAUAUCGAAGGAUGUAGGAAAUUUAUUUCAUAGGCGUACUUUGGUGUUCAGUGAAGUAGCAUCGCUCGAGAUGGUCUAGACGUAAAGAAAGACUGUUGCUUAAAUGGUAUAUUUGAAACCUGUCAAAUGAAAUAUGCAUAGCAAUAGUCUAUUGAAUCAAGGUAUCGAGGCAUGAUGGAAGUUCAUAUAGGUGCAAUUACAACUGUACAUGAAUUUGCAUGGGUUGAGAUGCUAUACAUAAAAAAAAAUGUUGAAACGGAGUGAUCAAAGGGAGUUCAAUGAGAAACAAAUGAUGUGCUAUUCAACGAAAUUAUGGAUGCAUGUUGAAAUUUGGUUUUUGUAAAUGUGCUUUAUAUAGUGUUUGAAGAAGUAGCAUGGAUAGUGAUGGAAAACUGUUCAAGCGGUCUGGUCUGGAAAUGUUGAAUGAAAUAAUAAUGAUACGCUAUUAAACCAAUAUAUCGGAAGUAUGGUGGAAAUUACUUUAUAGACGUUUUAUGCUGGUAUACGAAAAGGUCGCAUGGAUUUAGAUGGUAUAUAUAAAAAUAGAAGCUUUUGAAGUGGUGUGAUGAAAAGGAGUUGAAUGAGAUACAAAUACUGAUGUGCCAUGUAACCAAGUUAUAGCAGUAUAGUGAAAAUUGUUUAUAUCGACAUGCUUACGGUGGUAUUCGAAGAACCUCCAUAUGUCGCGACACCGUAACGGCAUGGUUGAAAGGAGUUGCAUGAAAGACGUUUAAUGACACACUAUUGUACGAGGAUAUCGAAGCAUGUAGGAACCUUAUUUCAUAGGUGUACUUUGGUGUUCAGUGAAGUAGCAUCGCUCGAGAUUGUCUAGACGUAAAGAAAGACUGUUGUUUAAAUGGUAUAUUUGAAAGCUGUCCAAUGAAAUAUGCAUAGCAAUAGUCUAUUGAAUCAAGGUAUCGAGGUAUGAUGGAAGUUCAUAUAGGCACAAUUACAACGGUACACAAAGAAGUGGGAUGAGUUGAGAUGUUAUAUAAUAAAAAAAAAGGUUGAUAUGGUGUGAUCAAAGGGAGUUCAGUGAGAAACAAAGAAUGAUGUGUUAUUCAACGAAAUUAUGGAAGCAUGUUGAAAUUUGGUUUUGUAAAUGUGCUUUAUAUAAUGUUUGAAGAAGUAGCAUGGCUAGGUGAGGGAGAACUGUUCAAGCGGUAUGGUCUCACAUUUUCGGCCAGUGUACGAAGAGGUCGUAUGGAUUGAGAUUUUAUAUAUAAAAACGAAAGCUUUUGAAGUGGUGUGAUAAAAAGGAGUUGAAUGAGCUACAAAUAAUAAUAUGCCAAUUAACCAAGUUAUAGAAGAAUAGUGAAAAUUUAUACGAACGUAGUUACGGGUGGUAUUCAAAGAAGCUCCAUAUGUCGUGAUGGUAUGUAAAUAGAGUAAAAUGUUGGCCGUAAUAGUAUGGUUGAUAGGAGUUGAAUGAAAAACGUGUAAUGACACACUAUGGUACGAGGAUAUCGAAGUAUGUUGAAAAUUUAUUUCAUAGGCGUAGUUUGGCUUCAAAACGAAGUAGCUUCGCUCAAGAUGGAUCUACAUGCAAAAAUAGACUUUUUAAACGGUAUAUUUAAAAGCUGUGAAUUUAUAUGUGCAUGGAAAUAGUCUUUUGAAUCAAGGUAUCGAGGCAUGAUGGAAUUUGAUAUAGGCGCACUUACAACGGUACACAAAGUAGCAUGGGCUGAGAUAUUAUAUAUAAAGACAUAAAACGGUCAAAACGGUGUGAUCAAAAGGAGUUGAAUGAGAUGAAAAUACUGGUGUGCCAUUUAACCAAGAUGUAUGUGAAAAGUUUUUACAAGGACGUACUUACAGUGGUAUUCGAAGAAGCUCCACAUGUCGUGAUGGUAUGUAUAUAGAGUGAAACAUUGGCCGUAACGGUAUGGUUGAUAGGAGUUGAAUGAAAAACAUGUAAUGACACACUAUUGUACGAGCAUAUCGAAGGAUGUAGGAAAUUUAUUUCAUAGGCGUACUUUGGUGUUCAGUGAAGUAGCAUCGCUCGAGAUGGUCUAGACGUAAAGAAAGACUGUUGCUUAAAUGGUAUAUUUGAAACCUGUCAAAUGAAAUAUGCAUAGCAAUAGUCUAUUGAAUCAAGGUAUCGAGGCAUGAUGGAAGUUCAUAUAGGUGCAAUUACAACUGUACAUGAAUUUGCAUGGGUUGAGAUGCUAUACAUAAAAAAAAGUGUUGAAACGGAGUGAUCAAAGGGAGUUCAAUGAGAAACAAAUGAUGUGCUAUUCAACGAAAUUAUGGAUGCAUGUUGAAAUUUGGUUUUUGUAAAUGUGCUUUAUAUAGUGUUUGAAGAAGUAGUAUGGAUAGUGAUGGAAAACUGUUCAAGCGGUCUGGUCUGGAAAUGUUGAAUGAAAUAAUAAUGAUACGCUAUUAAACCAAUAUAUCGGAAGUAUGGUGGAAAUUACUUUAUAGACGUUUUAUGCUGGUAUACGAAAAGGUCGCAUGGAUUUAGAUGGUAUAUAUAAAAAUAGAAGCUUUUGAAGUGGUGUGAUGAAAAGGAGUUGAAUGAGAUACAAAUACUGAUGUGCCACGUAACCAAGUUAUAGAAGUAUAGUGAAAAUUGUUUAUAUGGACGUGCUUACGGUGGUAUACGAAGAACCUCCAUAUGUCGCGACACCGUAACGGCAUGGUUGAAAGGAGUUGCAUGAAAGACGUUUAAUGACACACUAUUGUACGAGGAUAUCGAAGCAUGUAGGAACCUUAUUUCAUAGGUGUACUUUGGUGUUCAGUGAAGUAGCAUCGCUCGAGAUUGUCUAGACGUAAAGAAAGACUGUUGUUUAAAUGGUAUAUUUGAAAGCUGUCCAAUGAAAUAUGCAUAGCAAUAGUCUAUUGAAUCAAGGUAUCGAGGCAUGAUGGAAGUUC